RNAcentral lists this transfer RNA (70 nucleotides) under Camelus bactrianus (Bactrian camel). It matches the Rfam family "tRNA". From Rfam's summary of the family: Transfer RNA (tRNA) molecules are approximately 80 nucleotides in length. Their secondary structure includes four short double-helical elements and three loops (D, anti-codon, and T loops). Lineage: Eukaryota; Metazoa; Chordata; Mammalia; Artiodactyla; Camelidae. RNAcentral also lists the same sequence under 2 other names. The record is from Rfam by way of RNAcentral.
GAGGGUAGAGCUCAGUGGUAGAGUGCAUACUUAGCAUGCAUGAGGUCCUGGGUUCAGUCCAGUAUCUCCA